AAGGAAUUAAUUGUAGUUCUCUUUUAUAGCGGUUUAAAAUGUAUCUGAAAGUAUAUACGGGUGUUUGCAAUAAUUUAAUCACAGACGUAGAAAUAUAACCAAGAUUCACGACGACCAUUGUAUUGAUAGAGCAGUUGUUUAAAUAAAAGAGCAGCGUCAGUUUUGGAAAUGUCACAUUUUAUAUUUGUGUCAGUUUUUAGUUAAGUAAAUUGGAAAAUUACAAGCGGUGUGUAUUUCAGUAUGCUAACGUGACGUUUUUCAGCAGGUUUCAUUUGAUUGUAUGAAGCAGAAUUAGUUAACACUCAAAUCAACCCCUCGACAGCAGUUCUACUAAAUGUCCACACGAGGGCAGCAUUGGAUAGGAAAUGAAAGCUAAAGCCUCGUCUGUCUCCCUGAAGUUCGCUACCAAUUGUAAAGAGCAGAGGACAGCUCAGCCGGAGGCGUGUGUCUGUGUGAAACGACUUUAUUUCAUGUGAUAAGUUUGUGGAAGAAGGACGCCAUGUUAGGAGGCGUUUGCUAUUGUUUUACACAGACUACGAGGGACAGCGCUCAUUAAACCAGGUCUGUGAGGAUGAGAAGGUCUCCACAAUCUGGAGUCUGGUCUCUGACAGGCUCAACAUACCUGUCAAUCAACAAUUAACUCCUCUACAAAGGCAAGGCGCUGGCAGAUGUGAGCUACUCCCAGUUCUACUCUGUGUUCCCUGUGUCCCAGUCUCUGCUGGAGCCCGUGUUUCUGCAGGUUGAGCUCCAGCAGCCCCAUAGCCAGACUGACCGCCUCAUCCUGCAGGACUGCUGGGCCACACUGACCCCUGAACUGGACUCCAGCCCUCAAUGGGACCUGGUCACUGACCGCUGCCUGGUCACUGGAGACUCAUACAGGACCCACUUCCACACAGUGCCAGCCAGCACUCUCACCAGGAGCUCCCCCCAGCUCCAGAGGCUUGAGGUGCGGGCACAGCAGUCUAGCAAGGACUCUGCCUUCUGGAGACAGGUGUAUUUCCAUUGCAUGGCUGGUUUGUGAUCCCAACCUGGAGGAUACCUGCAAUAAGACUUGUGUGCCUGGAGCCCAGAGAUCUGCCCGUAGUGUGGAUCGAUACAGCCAGAUCAGAGGCUACGUUUCUGCCGGGCCAGUCCAAUUGGUACCAGAAGGACAAGUCCUGGACCUUCAAACAGCAGGUGACUCCCCCUUGGUUCCGGCGCUGGGCGUGGCGUCCGCUCUCCUCGGAGUUCUGCUCGUCAUUCUUGUUGCUGUCGGAUUCAGGAGAUGUUAAACUUGCUGUCUACCCCAAUAAAGAUUUUUGCAUCUCGA
Long non-coding RNA from Acipenser ruthenus (sterlet), 1309 nucleotides. RefSeq lists it as uncharacterized. The record is from RefSeq and is a predicted model, not a curated record. Lineage: Eukaryota; Metazoa; Chordata; Actinopteri; Acipenseriformes; Acipenseridae. The transcript is spliced from 7 exons.